RNAcentral lists this unclassified non-coding RNA (148 nucleotides) under Lacticaseibacillus paracasei. RNAcentral's name for it is "Lactobacillus paracasei sau-50". The record is from RNAcentral. Lineage: Bacteria; Bacillati; Bacillota; Bacilli; Lactobacillales; Lactobacillaceae.
UGAAUGCUGGUACCUUGGAUGCUGGGAUCUUGAUCUCGGCACCGGUUUGUGGGUUGCGGCCCUUACGAGCGGCACGCUCACGCACUUCGAAGUUACCAAAGCCGAUCAACUGAACCUUGUCACCCUUUGAAAGGGAGUCUUGGAUAGA